This 623-nucleotide ribosomal RNA is filed under the name uncultured bacterium. Its description in RNAcentral is "bacterial SSU rRNA". It matches the Rfam family "Bacterial small subunit ribosomal RNA", at positions 202 to 842 of the family's 1533-position model. The record is from RNAcentral.
GAAAGGAGCAAUUCGCUAAAAGAUGGCCUUGCGUCUGAUUAGAUAGUUGGUAAGGUAACGGCUUACCAAGUCGACGAUCAGUAGCCGGACUGAGAGGUUGAACGGCCACAUUGGGACUGAGAUACGGCCCAGACUCCUACGGGAGGCAGCAGUCGGGAAUAUUGCGCAAUGGAGGAAACUCUGACGCAGUGACGCCGCGUAUAGGAAGAAGGUUUUCGGAUUGUAAACUAUUGUCGUUAGGGAAGAGAAAGGACAGUACCUAAGGAGGAAGCUCCGGCUAACUACGUGCCAGCAGCCGCGGUAAUACGUAGGGAGCGAGCGUUAUCCGGAAUUAUUGGGUGUAAAGGGUGCGUAGACGGGAAAGCAAGUUAGUUGUGAAAUCCCUCGGCUUAACUGAGGAACUGCAACUAAAACUACUUUUCUUGAGUGCAGGAGAGGUAAGUGGAAUUCCUAGUGUAGCGGUGAAAUGCGUAGAUAUUAGGAGGAACACCAGUGGCGAAGGCGACUUACUGGACUGUAACUGACGUUGAGGCACGAAAGUGUGGGGAGCAAACAGGAUUAGAUACCCUGGUAGUCCACACCGUAAACGAUGGAUACUAGGUGUAGGAGAUAUUAAGUCUUCU